Molecule: ribosomal RNA, 497 nt
Filed under: uncultured bacterium
Lineage: Bacteria
Description: partial 16S ribosomal RNA
Rfam family: Bacterial small subunit ribosomal RNA
Source: RNAcentral
GAUGAACGCUGGCGGCGUGCCUAAUACAUGCAAGUCGAGCGAACAGACGAGGAGCUUGCUCCUCUGACGUUAGCGGCGGACGGGUGAGUAACACGUGGAUAACCUACCUAUAAGACUGGGAUAACUUCGGGAAACCGGAGCUAAUACCGGAUAAUAUAUUGAACCGCAUGGUUCAAUAGUGAAAGACGGUUUUGCUGUCACUUAUAGAUGGAUCCGCGCCGCAUUAGCUAGUUGGUAAGGUAACGGCUUACCAAGGCAACGAUGCGUAGCCGACCUGAGAGGGUGAUUGGCCACACCUGAACUGAGACACGGUCCAGAACCCUAAGGGAGGCAGCAGUAGGGAAAUUUCCGCAAAGGGCGAAAGCCUGACGGAGCAACGGCGCGGGGGUGAAGAAGGUCUUCGGAUCGGAAAACCCUUUUUAUAGGGAAGAAAAAAUGUGUAAGUAACUAUGCACGUCUUGACGGUACCUAAUCAGAAAGCCACGGCUAACUACGUG